This 245-nucleotide ribosomal RNA is filed under the name uncultured bacterium. Its description in RNAcentral is "partial 16S ribosomal RNA". It matches the Rfam family "Bacterial small subunit ribosomal RNA", at positions 524 to 768 of the family's 1533-position model. The record is from RNAcentral.
UACGGAGGGUGCAAGCGUUAGUCGGAAUAACUGGGCGUAAAGGGUGCGUAGGCUGGCAUAUAAGUUACGUGUGAAAUUACAGGGCUCAACCCUGUAGCAGCACGUAAGACUGUAAGUCUAGAGGAAUGGUGGGGAAAACGGAAUUCCACGUGUAGCGGUGAAAUGCGUAGAUAUGUGGAAGAACACCUGUGGCGAAAGCGGUUUUCUAACCUACUCCAGACGCUGAGGCACGAAAGCAAGGGGAU